UUCCUACGGGACGCAGCAGUGAGGAAUAUUGGUCAAUGGGCGAGAGCCUGAACCAGCCAAGUCGCGUGAGGGAAGACGGUCCUAUGGAUUGUAAACCUCUUUUGUCGGGGAGCAAAAAGACUACGUGUAGUCCCAAGCGAGAGUACCCGAAGAAAAAGCAUCGGCUAACUCCGUGCCAGCAGCCGCGGUAAUACGGAGGAUGCGAGCGUUAUCCGGAUUUAUUGGGUUUAAAGGGUGCGUAGGCGGGACGGUAAGUCAGCGGUAAAAAUGCGGAGCUCAACUCCGUCGAGCCGUUGAAACUGUCG
This 305-nucleotide ribosomal RNA is filed under the name uncultured bacterium. Its description in RNAcentral is "bacterial SSU rRNA". It matches the Rfam family "Bacterial small subunit ribosomal RNA", at positions 336 to 638 of the family's 1533-position model. The record is from RNAcentral.